This 140-nucleotide ribosomal RNA is filed under the name uncultured eukaryote. RNAcentral's name for it is "partial 18S ribosomal RNA". It matches the Rfam family "Eukaryotic small subunit ribosomal RNA", at positions 1299 to 1458 of the family's 1831-position model. The record is from RNAcentral.
UGGUGGAGCGAUUUGUCUAGUUAAUUCCAUUAACGAACAAGACCUCAGUCUGUUGAAUAACUAUGUGGAGGUGAUCCUUCGUGGCCAGCUUCUUAGAGGGACUAUGGCCUUUUAGGCCAAGGAAGUUUGAGGCAAUAACA